AUGUACUCCUCGGACAUUCCGGUUUCGCUGCGCCGACCAUGCCACCUGCGGGUUGGUCGCGGCGUGGUGUCGACU
This 75-nucleotide small RNA is filed under the name Xanthomonas phaseoli pv. dieffenbachiae. RNAcentral describes it as "sX9 sRNA". It matches the Rfam family "Xanthomonas sRNA sX9". The record is from RNAcentral. Lineage: Bacteria; Pseudomonadati; Pseudomonadota; Gammaproteobacteria; Lysobacterales; Lysobacteraceae. RNAcentral also lists the same sequence under 3 other names.